UAUCAGAGGUUGGUUGGAAAGCUGAUUUAUCUGGCUCAUACAAGACCUGACCUGUCUUAUGCCGUUAGUGUUGUCAGCCAGUUCAUGCAUAAUCCAAGUGAAGCACACCAAGGUGCAAUGGAUCGAAUUCUCAGGCUCGAAACUUGAUAGAAAAUCAACUUCAGGUUAUGUAUCUUUUGUCGGUGGUAAUCUUGUAACUUGGAGGAGUAAGAAAUAGGGGUUGUGUCAAGAUCUAGCGC
Non-coding RNA from Prunus avium (sweet cherry), 239 nucleotides. Lineage: Eukaryota; Viridiplantae; Streptophyta; Magnoliopsida; Rosales; Rosaceae. The record is from RefSeq and is a predicted model, not a curated record.